Molecule: long non-coding RNA, 670 nt
Organism: Suricata suricatta (meerkat)
Lineage: Eukaryota; Metazoa; Chordata; Mammalia; Carnivora; Herpestidae
Exons: 8
Source: RefSeq, a predicted model, not a curated record
GUUGCAGUCACGUGGAGGGCGUUGGGCGGGGCUCCACGGGUUAGGCGCCCGGGCUUGUUGAGGGAAGUAUUGAAAAAAGAUGAAAACAGCCUUCCCUUUCUAUAUGCAUCUGUUGCUGCCAUUUCUGAAGAAAAUGAUGUAUUAAUUGGUUUCAAUUAAGAUGAAAAAGUGAAGCCCUCAGGAGACAAAAACGUUACACAGAACUGGCAAAUAGCAGAAAUGUGAUCCAAAUUCAGAUCACCUGAGAAGAUCCAGAGAACAGUCCCUUCAGCACAGCUGUGAGAGGUGCUCUUACUUUCUGUGUUGUCUGCUAAAAAGGAAAAGGCUUUCAAAGUUCGAUGAAAUGUGAUAUAUGCAGUACCUGUUUUUGUAGAUAGCCUUUAUAAGAUUAAGGUACUUUGACACAUUAAGAGUUGUACAUCUCCUUUUAGCUCUGGAAAUUAACAUCACACCUGCGAAUUUAGAACUGUUACAUGUUCCUGGCUGCUGAGAAUUGUGAAGAGAUAUUUGAGCUUGGAAGAUUGGAUACAGAUUCCAGUAGUGAUGCCCAACCAAGUGGAUAGACUCCUCUGAGACUGUUUUAUCACAAACGAAAGCCAGAAAUUUUACUUGGUCUGUUUGCUUUAGAAGAAUUUCUAAGCAUCAAAUAAAAUAAUUAAUGUGAAUAUAA